GAAUCUGAUCAGGAGCAAUAUCCAGAUAUUCAAACUGAAUCUAAUCAGGAGCAAUAUCCAGAUAUUCAAACUGAAUCUAAUCUGGAGCAAUAUCCAGAUACAAAACCAGAAUCUGAUCAGGAGCAAUAUCCAGAUAUUUAAACUGAACCUAAUCAGGAGCAGUAUCCAAAUAUCCAACUGAAUCUAAUCAGGAGCAAUAUCCAAAUAUCCAA
This is a long non-coding RNA of Empidonax traillii (willow flycatcher), 212 nucleotides long. RefSeq lists it as uncharacterized. The transcript has 2 exons. The record is from RefSeq and is a predicted model, not a curated record. NCBI's taxonomy places the organism in Eukaryota, Metazoa, Chordata, Aves, Passeriformes, Tyrannidae.